RNAcentral lists this ribosomal RNA (637 nucleotides) under uncultured bacterium. RNAcentral describes it as "bacterial SSU rRNA". It matches the Rfam family "Bacterial small subunit ribosomal RNA", at positions 202 to 842 of the family's 1533-position model. The record is from RNAcentral.
UAAAGAUUCAUCGCUGAUAGAUAGGCAUGCGUCCCAUUAGGCAGUUGGCGGGGUAACGGCCCACCAAACCGACGAUGGAUAGGGGUUCUGAGAGGAAGGUCCCCCACAUUGGUACUGAGACACGGACCAAACUCCUACGGGAGGCAGCAGUGAGGAAUAUUGGUCAAUGGGCGUAAGCCUGAACCAGCCAAGUCGCGUGAGGGAUGAAGGUUCUAUGGAUCGUAAACCUCUUUUAUAAGGGAAUAAAGUGCGGGACGUGUCCCGUUUUGUAUGUACCUUAUGAAUAAGGAUCGGCUAACUCCGUGCCAGCAGCCGCGGUAAUACGGAGGAUCCGAGCGUUAUCCGGAUUUAUUGGGUUUAAAGGGUGCGUAGGCGGCCUUUUAAGUCAGCGGUGAAAGUCUGUGGCUCAACCAUAGAAUUGCCGUUGAAACUGGGAGGCUUGAGUAUGUUUGAGGCAGGCGGAAUGCGUGGUGUAGCGGUGAAAUGCUUAGAUAUCACGCAGAACCCCGAUUGCGAAGGCAGCCUGCCAAGCCAUGACUGACGCUGAUGCACGAAAGCGUGGGGAUCAAACAGGAUUAGAUACCCUGGUAGUCCACGCAGUAAAAGAUGAUCACUAGCUGUUUGCGAUACACAGUAA